Molecule: long non-coding RNA, 1768 nt
Organism: Canis lupus familiaris (dog)
Lineage: Eukaryota; Metazoa; Chordata; Mammalia; Carnivora; Canidae
Exons: 2
Source: RefSeq, a predicted model, not a curated record
CUACCCCGACACGCACCCGCCGCCCCCGACCCCAACAACCCUCCGCGGGGCCCCGGCCCGCGCCCGCGCCCGCUGCCGGGCGGCCGGCGGGACUCGCCACUUACCAACCCGCCUGGGACAACGCCGCGCCGGGGACCUCAGACAUGUAACGUCCGCGUGUCCAGCGUCGGCAGGUGUCCCCUCACCCGCGGCCAGGCGGAGCUGGACCCGAGACGCACGGGUCGGUGAGCCAGGGCUUCCCGCUCGGGGACGGUAAAACUCAACCACAAAGGUGUUGCCAGCCACUCCGCAGACGACAAGUUUCCUUUUUUUUUUUUUUUUUUUUAAAUAAAGACUCACUCUGCGCUUCGAUCUGCCCCGACGCAAAGAAAAUACGGUCGCACUGUUUUCAAGCCCCGCGCCCCGCCCCCAGCCCCGACCGCAGGCAAAUCAGCUCGUAGAGGACCCGAGAAACCCUGAAGUUAAGGAGCAUGGGUAAACCGGGCGGUUGUGUCAGUGCCUGUUUUCUCUGUCGCGCUGCCACUGGACCGGCCCAAAGUCCCCAGCGCGGCCCUGUGACGUUGGCGCCGGCAUCACCGGGCCCGGCUCCACCGCCCCCGCCCCCCCGGCCGCCGUCCUCUAGCUCUCCGCAGGGCUGAGGCGUAGGGGCAGGUCCCCGAAUGAGCAUGCGCGGCGGCGGCGGCGACGCCGAACGGCGCGUUUGACGCUGCAACACGAUUGGACGGCUGAGACUCACGACAGCCAAUCGGAGAGGAGCAGGUGGAAGGGGACGCAGACACGCCCUAAAGGUUUGCCCCGCCCUCCCCGCUUUUCCGCCUCUGCGGCUGCUGGGGAGGAGGGCGCGCGUGUGUCUGUGGGGCUCUGGCCCCGGCUGUCGAGUCACGGGGGGAAACGGGAGGACUUAAGCCUGGUCGCCCGUGGCUGCCUCAUCUGACACCAUCAUCACAGAGGCUCGGAGCAGACACUGCGGACCUGGACGGAGCCCCCUCCUGGGAUCGGGGAGGAGAAGGAAGGAAAUCAUUGCCAUGGGGGGAGCUCAAACUCAAUACAUUUGUUUCUCCUUUUAAUUGGGAAACUCCGUUUGGGCUUCCCAAGUCACACUUUUUUUUUUUUUUUAAUAUUUUGUUUAUUCAUGAGAGACACAGAGAGAGAGAGAGGCAGAGGGAGAAGCAGGCUCCAUGCAGGGAGCCGGAUGCGGGACUCGAUCCCGGGUCUCCAAGGUCACGCCCUGGGCUGCAGGCGGCGCUAAACCGCUGCCCCCCCUACACCCCCCCCCCGGCCGCCGCCCCCCAAGUCACACUUAAAAUCGCGAUGUUUUUCUAAUGCUAUGGAAAUAUGUUUUCAAGCACACUGCUUGGGAACUUAUUUUAGUGAAACGUAUUUCCAAGGACUUGAUCAGAAAUCAUUCCAUGCUGUUCGCCGCAGAAUGGAGUGGUGUGCUGGGUUUAGGCCAUACACAUGCUACAAGUGUAUUUCAGUUUAAGGACACCAUCCUGUCCAGGGGUCAGGAAAAGAUCUGCCGUUCUGAAGGUAAAUAGGUGGUGACUCAAGUUGGCUAAUAAUUUUUAUUGUUUUUUUUUUUUAAGUAGAAUCUACUCUCAACCGAUUAUUUAUAUUUUGCAAUUGGUGUGAGUUGUUAACUAUGAAAAUGAUAUGCUGUCCUGGUAUCAGAGUUCCUCACUGGCUAAAUGUGAAUCCUUACAGGUUCUCGUGGUGCAGUGUUGUAAGCACUUAAAAUAAUUUUAAUAAAAUGCGCCAUAAAACACUA